UAUCCCGUCAGUCAAUAAUGGUUGAUAGGAGUAAUAUUAAUGCCAUCCACACUGCCAGUGUUCUUACAGCACACUGGCUAAAAGGAAGAAAUAGCCAGAACAAGCACAAUGUCUACAACCACAGGGACUUUAUAGUAAUUCAAAGGAGGAGUCUGUCAUUUCAUUUUCUCAUAUGGCCACUGGAUGAAAUGGACAAACAUUCAAGUCUCAUGCAAAACCACAAACCUAUUUCCAGUCCAUGAACACUCAGUCCUGAAGGAUCUAUACUAUUUAACCAGAUUUUUGGUGAAAGCCUUGUAAUAACUAAUUAACUGAGCCGCAACAAACCUGACACCUUAAAAAAGGGAUAUGCAAUACGAGAACAUAUGGUACUAGAUGUUACCUAGCAUUGAACAGGUAUUUUCCUAUGAUUAGAUACAAUUUCGAUUUGCCCAUCACUGGAUACGACCAUUUGCUUUAUAAUAUAGUUAUUAUUUUGGUUUGCCUGUAUAGAAUAGGCUGUUUUUACACUGUGUGUCUGAAUGCUAGAAAAAAAAAUCACAGCCUGCUAAACCAUCCCUUUCUCAUCAUAAUGUACACACACAAACAGUAAACGUGCCAUCUUUUCCUGCAUGGUUGAAACCAGAGCCAUUUAUACAGCAUGUGCCAUCUCUUUGUAAUUGACUUAACCCCGUGACCUAGCGGUCGUGACACCUGUGAUACUGAAUAUAGUACAGUUGUAGCAGACCCACGGUGCAGCGUGAUGUCAGCCCCACAUGCAUGACAUCACAACAACACAGGAACACAAAGCAGUGUUGUUACACUCAGGACCAAACAACUCCCAACAGCUGGACCUUUGGUUGUCAGACCUUCAUCAGAGCACACCCUCCAGACCACUACAAACACAACAGGUUAACUAUUCUCUGGUAAUAAGCGGCCCGUCCAUGGACACAAGGGCAUGAGGAACACAGGUUGGCUUCAAAACACAGAGGCUGUGGAUAUAUGGGUUACGGGUUGGGACCUGGAGGUGGCGUUGGGUCGAUACCAGGUGUGGAGCUGAGGGUGGUGUUGGGUCGAUACCAGGUGUGGAGCUGAGGGUGGUGUUGGGUCGAUACCAGGUGUGGAGAUGAGGGUGGUGUUGGGAAGGUACAGGGUGUGGAUCUGAGGGUGGUGUUGGGUAGGUAAAGGGGUGUGGAUCUGAGGGUGGUGUUGGGUCGAUACCAG
Esox lucius (northern pike) is the source of this 1203-nucleotide long non-coding RNA. The record is from Ensembl. Lineage: Eukaryota; Metazoa; Chordata; Actinopteri; Esociformes; Esocidae.